CCAACGUGCUGUGGGCUUCUUGGCAGUAGAAAGUAGAAGUGCGUCGCAGAGUGGAACGGAAAAGGCGAAAAGCAGGCAAGCAAACUCUUGAUCUCUCCCCGCCUGCGUGCGUGUGCGCCUCACCACUACCACCACCGCUACCACUAACACCAUCAACAGCACCCUCCCUUUUGGCGCCCCGCGCUCGUUUCUCUCUCCCCAUCAUCGACGUGCGCAGAGACGCACACGUAGACAACCGCUACGUGCGUUGCUUUACGUCUACUCGUGUAUGUCUAGUGGUGGUGGGGAGGCGUCGACGCGGCCGCCGCCGCCGCCGUCGUCGUCGCCAUCGCGCGGGGCCCCUGCCGCUGAGGCCAGUGACGCGGCCAACGCCGCGGACGGCACACAUGGCAGCCUGUCCCCGGUGGAGCUGGAGGCCAUUGAGCAGCGCUUCGUGGAGGUACUGCGUGCCCUCUCCGCUGAGCCACAGCUGGAGCCGUUCCGCAACGAGUACGAAAAGCUACACCGCCUGCUCCUCAGCAGCCACGAUGGAGAGCAGCGCCUCCUCCGACAAGCGCGCGAGCUGCGCGACGAGCUAGACACACACCAACAGCAGAUUACGACGGCGAUGCAGCUUUCGCAGGAGGACGAGGAGGCAAUCCGAACUCUGCGGGGGGAAAUCGAGGCAGCGUGGGCGAAAGCUGAUACCGCGCACGAGCAAGAGCAGCGCAGUCGCGAGCUCUUGCACACGCUACGGCAGCAGGUCACCGAACUCGACGCGAUGGUCGAGAAGACAGCAGGGCUGUCGAUGGGGCAAGAAGCGUACUUGCGUGAUCUGCUCACCGUAAAGAAGGACCGCGAGGAGGAGGCGAUGCUGCUGCGCGCGGCGUUGAAUCGGACAGAGGCAGAUCACCGGCACGUGUGCGUGCAACUCGAUGCCGCCACGCAGGCGCACGAGGCGGCCCAGCACGAGCGAGAUGAGCAGCGCCACGCCUAUCAGCACUUGCUCACCAGCCUCGAGGCGGAGCAACGGGAGCGGGCGGCGAAGGAGGCGAGCGUGCGGCAGUACCGCGACACGACGGAGUUGUGCAUGCGUCGGCUCGACGAGCGCGGCGUCGAGGUGGAGCGAGCCAUACGGGAAGAGAAGAAAGCCGCCAAGGAGGCGGAGGGCACGGCGCAGGAAAUCCAAGCCAUCGCCCGCCAGCUGCAGGAGCGGCAGGAGCGCUUCGCUGUCGAGGCAGCCCGGCUCGCUGCUGCCGAGCGCGAGAACACGAUCCUCACGCGCGAGCUGCCGCAGCGGCAAGCUGCCCUGCGCGAACAGCAGGAUGAGCUGAAGCGCGAGGAGAAGCAGCUGCACUUGCUGGAGAAGUCGGCGCGAGCGCAGCAGGCGGAGCUGGCCGCACUCGUCGAGAAACGCGCGACGGCCGCCGCAGCGGUGCAAACACGCGCCAACUCUGUCGAUGCCGCCCUGGCCGAGCUGGCGACAGAGGAGAAGGCGCGCGCGGUGCUGGAGGAGGCGGUCGCCAAGGUGAUGCAGCGCAAGACCAACACGAUGCACACCAAUACUGUCAAGGCCACGGCGAGUUCGAAGGUGGAGGGGCAGCGCGUCAUGGAGGCUGGCAAGAGUCGGCGCCUCAGCCGGCAGCUGGAGCUGCUGCGGACGGACAAUGAGCAGAUGCGCAAAACAAUUUACUAUGCCGAGCAGAACCACGAAAAGAACACGAAGGAGGCGCAGCAGGCGCUGCUGAACUACCACCGGACCCUCGACGCUAUUCGCACGCGCCGCAGCGAGGCCAAGGCGGUCGAGGAGGAUAUCGCGCUCCAUCAGAAGAAGCUGAAGGCGCAGCAGGCACUGCUGAGCACCGUGACGGCGGAUCGCCAGAAGACGGAGAAGGCGUUGCGCGAAACAGAGGCAGAGCUGCAGCUGCUGCGCAACCGACACGGGAGCAAGCAGGAGGAGCUGGAGUCGGUGAAAACAGAGCUGAUCCAACAGGAGGCGGACAUGUGCCAGCUGCAUGGUCUCAGUCGGCAGCUAAACAAGGAUGUCGCCAACACGGAGCAGCGCCUGCGGUUCCUGCGGGAAGAUCAGCAGCAUGCCGAGAGCCGCGUCGAGGCACUACGCAGCGAGGCGCAAGAACUUCGGCAGGUGAUUGCGCAAUACGAUCUGGAAGCACGGCAGCAAGGCGCGCGGCUGAAGUACAUGACGCACGAGCGCAACGCCAUCGCGACGCAGCUGCUGCUCCGCUCCGAGGAACUCGAGCUGAUCCGCGAGAAGAUCCGCCUUGCUGAUGUGGCGCGGGUAUCUGGGGUCACCAAGUACCAGCGAGCGAUGAAGCAGCUGCUGGAAUCACGCGACUUGCUUGUUGAGCAGCGGCUGCGCUGCCGCAUUGCCCUGGUGCGGCUCCGCUACCUCGAUCGCCUCCACACCAAGGAGGUGCAUCAGGAGAAGCUGCUGUCACAGUCCCGCGCGCGGGUGCGGGCGCUGGCGGACGAGCUCGGCACCAAGCACAACGUGCACUGCUGGCGGAGCAUGGAAAGCAACGCGCCAGAGGUGCUGGAUGCCCUCGCCAAGGUUCAGCUCCUGCAGGCGAAGCUGCUGCGCAAACAUGGCGAGUUGAAGGAAAAGACGGACCUGGUUGAGAAAGAGGAACGUGCCUAUCAGCAGCUGCGGCAGAAGCUGGCGCGGAUGCCGGGGCCGGAGGCCGCCGAGGAGCUCGCCCUCUGCGCCGAAAACAUGCAGCAGCGCAAGGCGCAGCUGCUGUGCAUGACGGACUCUCUGGCAGAAGCGGAGCAGGAGGCGGAGGCUCUGGAAGUGCAUGUCGCGCAGCUCCAGGAAGAACUUCAAGACCUGAAGCACCGCUACUACCAGGAGAAAACAAAACACACCGCCUUGAGACAGGAGGAAAAGCUCAUAGCGCGAACUUGGGGUGCUGGCAGCGCCGGUGUCGGAGCUGCCAGGCAAGCGGGCAGCGGUACGGGCUCUUCCGCAGGCGGCGGCGGGGUAGCGGUAGUAGCAGCAGGCGCAUCGGCGCCUUCAGCAGAGCAGCGACGCACCAACACCGAUGACAGGUCCCCGUCGGGUGGCGGAUCAGCUUCUGCUGAUGUGGGGCACAGGUCUGGCUCACAGCCGCAGCGGCCGCACCUCCAUGCAGGCGGCUCUGCCGUCGCUAGUAACAGCCACAACGGCAUUCAAGCCGCAGCGAGCGGCACUGCAUGCAGCGGCACUGGUCAAAUGAGCGCGGCCAACAGCGGCAGCGUAGGCAACGGCUCUGUCCCGCCACGCAACGGCCGCCGGCGCGCGCCGCUGGCCGAGGCGAUGCUAGACACGCUGACGGCAGGGCCGCCACAGCCGAACUUCCCGCUGCAGAGGCCACCCCAUCAGCGGCAGUUUGUCGGCGGCGGCUUCUCUCUCACUCGAUGAUGGCGCGGGGGGAGCCGCGGGUGUGCCUGUGUGUGUGUGUGUGUGUGUGUGUGUGUGUGUGUGUGUGUGUGUGUAGCCUGUCUGUGCAUCCCCAUGCCUGUGUGGCGCCGCCGCAGUCUGUGUGCGUGUUGUGGCCGCUCCUCCGUCUCCGUUGCCUCGCUCAUUUCUCGUUUUUGCCCUUCGUUGAUGUACCUUAGUGCUUUCCCAUGUCCCAUGUGCCUCCGAAUACGGACGAUGCUCAGGGUGGGUUGCAGCGCCCCACCCCCCACCACCACCCUCUCUCGGUCACGUACGUGUGUGUGUGUGUGUGUGUGUUUGGGGGGGCGGGGGGAGGAGGAGACGGCGGUAUCCGUCCGCACGCAUAACCACUUGCAUCCAAAAAGUGUCCUCCUCGCCUUGGUCCAUGAAAAGAGAUGUCGUCGGUGCGUGAGAAGCACAUCCCUCAGCGCUGCACCAGUGCUGGCCAGCUAGGGAGCACCUUUGCCUACAACGCUGCGGAGCGUUCGUCUUCUGCGGCGCACGCGCCUCGAAGGCCGACAGAGAGGAGUGGCGGAUGAUGAUGUCCGAGGGUGCUGCGUCGGCAACGUCCGUACGUUGGGCAGAAGUGCAAAGAGCGACCGGUCGCGAUCGAGUGUGCGCGCGGGAACAGAAACGGGCCGCGUGACUGGUCUCCAGUCCCCUCGCUCGCUGGCACACACACACACACACACACGCACACACAAACUCGCCAAAUGAACGCAGAUGCCCUUCCCUUCCCAAUCCCCGCGCGUUACGUUGUGCAGCGCCCUCGUUCACAUGCCUGAAGCGGCACAAAAACCGCCGCCACCCCUCCCUCUCUCUCCAAGCCCUCACUAUCUCCUUGGGCUGCGCUACUCACGCGGUCCUCUCUCUCUCUCCUUCCCUUGCAG
This 4308-nucleotide unclassified non-coding RNA is filed under the name Leishmania donovani. RNAcentral's name for it is "gene:LdHU3.03.0310(CDS-product:hypothetical_prote in_conserved)". Lineage: Eukaryota; Euglenozoa; Kinetoplastea; Trypanosomatida; Trypanosomatidae. The record is from RNAcentral.